This 348-nucleotide long non-coding RNA is filed under the name Lathyrus oleraceus (garden pea). RNAcentral's name for it is "Pisum sativum (pea) long non-coding RNA (PSAT_LNC024487)". Lineage: Eukaryota; Viridiplantae; Streptophyta; Magnoliopsida; Fabales; Fabaceae. The record is from RNAcentral.
UUCCAACUCGGUUACAUCUCAUAUGUCCUCAAGACUCUCCGCACUUUCUGUCUUCUGAACAAGACGCUUCCAAUCAAUCUCUGUCUGGGAUUAGCCGAGUCAUAUCCAAAGCACUAACGAUCAUGCUGGACGCAGUUGUUCGUUUCAUUCCCUCUUUUGCCUGGACCGCCCUUUCGGGUCUUCAGUCCACCGGGAUACCCCUUUUUGCCCAAGUCGCCCUUGUGGGGUUUUCGACUUGCCGGGUGUACAGUUCUUUUCUUUUCUUAUCCCUAACUUUUGCCCGAACCUUUUCUCUUUUUUCUUUUUGUUUUUGGUUCGCCGGGAUGCCCAUUUUUGCCUGGACUCUUU